UGAGCAAUCUGCCCUUCUCAUCGGAAUAAGCGUUGGAAACGACGUCUAAUGCCGAAUACGACCUCCUUUCGCAUGAUCGGAGGUGGAAAGCUCCGGCGGAGAAGGAUGAGCUCGCGGCCUAUCAACUAGUUGGUGUGGGUAACGGCCCACCAAGGCGACGACGGGUAGCCGGCCUGAGAGGGUGACCGGCCACACUGGGACUGAGACACGGCCCAGACUCCUACGGGAGCAGCAGG
This 236-nucleotide ribosomal RNA is filed under the name uncultured bacterium. RNAcentral describes it as "partial 16S ribosomal RNA". It matches the Rfam family "Bacterial small subunit ribosomal RNA", at positions 118 to 354 of the family's 1533-position model. The record is from RNAcentral.